AUCCAACUGACGAGUCCCAAAUUGGACGAAAUGCGCGUCCUGGAU
This 45-nucleotide non-coding RNA is filed under the name Schistosoma haematobium. Lineage: Eukaryota; Metazoa; Platyhelminthes; Trematoda; Strigeidida; Schistosomatidae. The record is from RNAcentral.